GGGGAUGUAGCUCAGAUGCUAGAGCGCUCGCUUAGCAUGCGAGUGGCACGGGUAUCGAUACCCCGCAUCUCCA
This is a non-coding RNA of Nicotiana sylvestris (wood tobacco), 73 nucleotides long. Lineage: Eukaryota; Viridiplantae; Streptophyta; Magnoliopsida; Solanales; Solanaceae. The record is from Rfam.